This 67-nucleotide transfer RNA is filed under the name Echinostoma caproni. It matches the Rfam family "tRNA". Rfam says of the family: Transfer RNA (tRNA) molecules are approximately 80 nucleotides in length. Their secondary structure includes four short double-helical elements and three loops (D, anti-codon, and T loops). Further hydrogen bonds mediate the characteristic L-shaped molecular structure. tRNAs have two regions of fundamental functional importance: the anti-codon, which is responsible for specific mRNA codon recognition, and the 3' end, to which the tRNAs corresponding amino acid is attached (by aminoacyl-tRNA synthetases). tRNAs cope with the degeneracy of the genetic code in two manners: having more than one tRNA (with a specific anti-codon) for a particular amino acid; and 'wobble' base-pairing, i.e. permitting non-standard base-pairing at the 3rd anti-codon position. Lineage: Eukaryota; Metazoa; Platyhelminthes; Trematoda; Plagiorchiida; Echinostomatidae. The record is from Rfam by way of RNAcentral.
GGCCUCGGAGCUCAGCUGGUAGAAUGUAGGCGACGUUCAUGCGUGGGUUCGAAUCCCACCGAGGCUA